This 460-nucleotide ribosomal RNA is filed under the name uncultured bacterium. Its description in RNAcentral is "partial 16S ribosomal RNA". It matches the Rfam family "Bacterial small subunit ribosomal RNA", at positions 338 to 795 of the family's 1533-position model. The record is from RNAcentral.
CCUACGGGAGGCAGCAGUGAGGAAUAUUGGUCAAUGGACGAGAGUCUGAACCAGCCAAGUAGCGUGAAGGAUGACUGCCCUAUGGGUUGUAAACUUCUUUUAUAUGGGAAUAAAAUGUUCCACGUGUGGGAUUUUGUAUGUACCAUAUGAAUAAGGAUCGGCUAACUACGUGCCAGCAGCCGCGGUAAUACGGAGGAUCCGAGCGUUAUCCGGGUUUAUUGGGUUUAAAGGGAGCGUAGGUGGAUUUUUAAGUCAGUUGUGAAAGUUUGCGGCUCAACCGUAAAAUUGCAGUUGAAACUGGCAGUCUUGAGUACAGUAGAGGUGGGCGGAAUUCGUGGUGUAGCGGUGAAAUGCUUAGAUAUCACGAAGAACUCCGAUUGCGAAGGCAGUUCACUGGACUGCAACUGACACUGAGGCUCGAAAGUGUGGGUAUCAAACAGGAUUAGAUACCCUGGUAGUC